Molecule: ribosomal RNA, 336 nt
Filed under: Streptococcus suis
Lineage: Bacteria; Bacillati; Bacillota; Bacilli; Lactobacillales; Streptococcaceae
Description: bacterial SSU rRNA
Rfam family: Bacterial small subunit ribosomal RNA
Source: RNAcentral
UUUCAGUAUUUUACCCCCAUGGUAGAUAUUUGAAAGGAGCAAUUGCUUCACUAUGAGAUGGACCUGCGUUGUAUUAGCUAGUUGGUGAGGUAACGGCUCACCAAGGCUUCGAUACAUAGCCGACCUGAGAGGGUGAUCGGCCACACUGGGACUGAGACACGGCCCAGACUCCUACGGGAGGCAGCAGUAGGGAAUCUUCGGCAAUGGGGGCAACCCUGACCGAGCAACGCCGCGUGAGUGAAGAAGGUUUUCGGAUCGUAAAGCUCUGUUGUAAGAGAAGAACUGUGAGAAGAGUGGAAAGUUUCUCACUUGACGGUAUCUUUACAACAGAGCUUU